AACUUUCGGCAACGGAUCUCUUGGCUCUCGCAUCGAUGAAGAACACAGCGAAAUGUGAUAAGUAAUGUGAAUUGCAGAAUUCAGUGAAUCAUCGAAUCUUUGAACGCACCUUGCACCCUUUGGUAUUCCAAAGGGUAUGCUCGUUUGAGUGUCAUUGUACUCUCAUACUCUCUGAUCUUAGGAUUGGGAGUGGUGGACUUGGGUGUUGCUGCUUCACUGUGGCUCACCUGAAAUGCAUUAGUGCAACUCUUGACUAACCAUAGUAUGGCAUGAUAAGCAUCUUUGCCAGCACCUCUCCGGAGGGUGGUCAGUCAAGAGCUCUGUGCUUCUAACUGUCUUUGGACAAUCUUGACAACUUGACCUCAAAUCGAGUAGGACUACCCGCUGAACUUAAGCAUAUCAAUAAGCGGAGGCU
This 415-nucleotide unclassified non-coding RNA is filed under the name uncultured Sebacinaceae. RNAcentral describes it as "sequence contains ITS2". The stretch from base 1 to 154 matches the Rfam family "5.8S ribosomal RNA". The record is from RNAcentral. Lineage: Eukaryota; Fungi; Basidiomycota; Agaricomycetes; Sebacinales; Sebacinaceae.